UAUAAAGCAAUGUUCUCGGAUGGUUCAUCAAUAGAUUGAUCUGUUUAAAUUGUUUAUUAAAAUGAUUAUGGAUUUUGGUGGAUUGGCAGUUGCAUCUUUCCUCUUGUACCGAUCUCUUUAUCCGAGCAUGUCGUCUAAGAAUGACAAAUACAUAGAAGCUGGUGAGUUAACAUAGAAGAAGGUGAUUGGGCUUCUUGGAGGAGAGGGUGAGUUGAUGAUUGUUUGAAAUUGGAUAAACAGCCAUUUUGUGGAUUCUAAGGACUGGUAUAUAUGAUGAGGUUGGUCAAUUAUUACUUAGAAUGACUGAGCUUUUCUUGAGUUUGACGAUCUAUUCACAUCUAUCUUCGGUUGGGUUGGUGUAUGGGCAGUGUCCUUGAUCAUCUCGAGGACCACUUGAAGAGCUGAAAUUUUGAUAAACUCCUGCUGCGUAGGCACUUUGUUGAAUGUCAUUCCUCAGUUGAUUCCCUUGGAGUGGAAAGAUGACAAUUCAGCUUUUUCUGUAUGGCUAAGUUGAUGAAUUGCGGAGUCCGCGCUUUGUUUGAAAUUGGAUAAGCUCCCCCUUCUUGGAUUUGGUUCCUUUGAUGUCUUCACUCUAUAUGUGUACAUGGAUGAAUCCUUAAUCAAUUAAUAUUUUGGCCAUGCUA
This is a long non-coding RNA of Eucalyptus grandis, 644 nucleotides long. RefSeq lists it as uncharacterized. Lineage: Eukaryota; Viridiplantae; Streptophyta; Magnoliopsida; Myrtales; Myrtaceae. The transcript has 2 exons. The record is from RefSeq and is a predicted model, not a curated record.